RNAcentral lists this ribosomal RNA (253 nucleotides) under uncultured bacterium. RNAcentral's name for it is "partial 16S ribosomal RNA". It matches the Rfam family "Bacterial small subunit ribosomal RNA", at positions 524 to 776 of the family's 1533-position model. The record is from RNAcentral.
UACAGAGGAGCCAAGCGUUGUCCGGAUUGACUGGGCGUAAAGCGCACGCAGGCGGAUGCGCGCGUGGGGUGUGAAAUCUGGCCGCUUAACGGCCAGGCGCCAUCCCAUACGGCGCGUCUGGAGUGAUGCAGAGGUCGGUGGAAUUGCCGGUGUAGUGGUGAAAUGCGUAGAGAUGUGGAGGAACACCAGUGGCGAAGGCGACUCUUUGGCCUGUAACUGACGCUGAGGCGCGAAAGCGUGGGGAGCAAACAGG